RNAcentral lists this non-coding RNA (23 nucleotides) under Cricetulus griseus (Chinese hamster). The record is from RNAcentral. Lineage: Eukaryota; Metazoa; Chordata; Mammalia; Rodentia; Cricetidae.
ACAGGCACAUCAAGGAGGACUAG